GUCAUCGGGCAGCGACACAUCCAGGGGGGACAGAGGCACAGCUUCCAAAGGACAUCCAUCGCCACAGCUGUGUGUCUGUCUCCCUGUGGCUGCACGUGGAAUCUGUAGGUCUGUGCGCUGCCCCCCAGCAUGGGGACCUGUCGGACCCCCGGCUCAGCCCUCUCCCGCUCACAGGGGAAGGCAUACAAAGCAUUCCCUUCUCUUUUUGCCUCCCCACCCCGAUGCCCGGACACGAGGAUGCUCAGCUGUGGCUCCUCGGUCCCCACAGCCUCAGCCCACGCACCCACCUCCCCCGGGAAGGAGGGGAUGUGGGCUUUGAUGUGGGGAAUUCAGGCGCAUCCUCGGCGGGCCGGGAUGAGUCACGGCGGCGGCAGCAGCGCUGGAAGAGCAUCAGCACACGAUCCCCCCCGAGGCUCCGCGGCUCCGCAUCGCCCUCCGCCAGCGGUUCCGCUCCGCACGCACGCAGCUCUCUGCCCUCGGGAAAUGCCACGUCCUCCUGCCAGGUGGAGGAGCAGCGAGGUGGGCGCCGGCCCAGCAGGUGACAGUGGGACCGCAGCGCCGCAGCCCCAAACCGACCCCCUCCAUCCCCCCCUCGUAACGCAGGAGCUCAGCGCCACGGUCCUCAAGCAGCAGCGGUUAACUCCCUGAUUACACACCCUGCACGGCCAGGCCGCUUUGAGGAGUGCAAUUAAUUAACGUUUGCAUCCCUGGCGCUUGCUGACCCUGCCAGACUCGGAGCAAAUCGGCCUCUGCCGACGGGUAAUGGGUUUGCUGCAGGACGAGCUAUUUCCGAGCCGGCUUUGGAAGUCAUUUGGGGUGGCUGCCGGGCGGUGCAGCCCCGUGUUGGCUGCUGGGGCUCAUCCGGAGCUCGGGGCAAUGGGGCAAUGGGGCAGAGGUGCAGAGGGAGCAAAGCAGAGCUGUGGGGUCAGCGUGGGUCGUGCUGGGGUGCUGCUCUGGGGGCAAUGCAGGCGGGCUGGAAAGCACACACAGGUUUCCCUUGCGCAGCACAAACCCCAUCGCGUGGGUGGCACGGGUGGGAGGCAGAGGAUGCGGGGACGGGACAUGGGGGUGAGCUCCCAGCCCAGAGAGGGGCAAACCCCAAUAAACGAAUGGGCGCACAC
This 1121-nucleotide long non-coding RNA is filed under the name Gallus gallus (chicken). Its description in RNAcentral is "lncRNA (ENSGALG00010018136.1)". The record is from RNAcentral. Lineage: Eukaryota; Metazoa; Chordata; Aves; Galliformes; Phasianidae.